This 468-nucleotide ribosomal RNA is filed under the name uncultured bacterium. RNAcentral describes it as "partial 16S ribosomal RNA". It matches the Rfam family "Bacterial small subunit ribosomal RNA", at positions 28 to 507 of the family's 1533-position model. The record is from RNAcentral.
GACGAACGCUGGCGGCGUGCUUAACACAUGCAAGUCGAACGGAAAGGCCCUGCUUUUGUGGGGUGCUCGAGUUGCGAACGGGUGAGUAACACGUGAGUAACCUGCCCUUGACUUUGGGAUAACUUCAUGAAACUGGGGCUAAUACCGGAUAGGAGCUCCUGCUGCAUGGUGGGGGUUGGAAAGUUUCGGCGGUUGGUGAUGGACUCGCGGCUCAUCAGCUUGUUGGUGGGGUAGUGGCUUACCAAGGCCUUGACGGGUAGCCGGCCUGGGAGGGUGAGCGGACAAACUGCGACUGGGCUGAGGCACAGCCUCGUACGGGAGGGAGCGGUGGGGAAGAUUACACAAUGGGCGGAGGCCUGGUGUAGCAACGCCGCGUGGGGGAUGACGUCAUGCGGUUAGUGAUCCGAAGUCGCCUUUGCCGAAGUGUGAGUGACGGUACCGGGUAAAGAAGCACCGGCUAACUACGUG